GCCCCAACAGCUAGCUCAACCAGACAAAACAACAACCCACAUCAAUAACCCCGAAAGAAUCAACCCCUUUAAGCUAAACCAUUUUUCCCUUCUAGUACGGGAGACGGAACGGAGACCCGACGCUAUAGAGACAGUACCGCAAGGGAACGCUGAAAGAGAACUGAAACAACCCAGUAAAGGCUAAAAAAGCAGAGCUCACCCCUCGUACCUUUUGCAUCAUGACUUAGCAAGCACCCCCAAGCGAAGAGCCCUUAAUGUUUGAGCCCCCGAAACUGAGCGAGCUACUCCGAGACAGCUUACCUAGAGCGAACCCGUCUCUGUGGCAAAAGAGUGGGAAGAACUCCGAGUAGAGGUGAUAGACCUACCGAGCCCAGUUAUAGCUGGUUGCCUGGGAAAUGAAUAGAAGUUCAACCUUUUGACCUCCUCCCUCCCAACACGAGGAACCUCCCACCCCGGCCCAGAGGAUAUCAACAGAGCUAUUCAAAAGAGGGACAGCUCUUUUGAACCAAGACACAACUUUUUUAGCAGGGUAAAGACUAAAAGAGACAAGGAUUAUGCCCUAGUGGGCCUAAAAGCAGCCACCUUAAUAGAAAGCGUUAAAGCUCAAGCAUAAAAACCCAACAAUCUCAGCCACUUUUUCUUAUCCCCCUUUCAAUACCGGGCUCUCCCAUGCCUUCAUGGAAGAAAAACUGCUAACACGAGUAACAAGGGAGCUUACCCCUCCCUCCCUGCCACUGUGUAGUCAGAACAGACCCUGCCUGAAAAUUAACGCCCCCAUAAAAGAGGGAACUAGGACAUCUCCUGCCAAGCCAGAUGCCCCCCUAAAACUAAGCGUUAACCCCACACUGGUUGGCCAAAGGAAAGACACAAGGGAGAAGAAGGAACUCGGCAAACACCAGCCUCGCCUGUUUACCAAAAACAUCGCCUCUUGCAAGCCCAGUAUAAGAGGUCCCGCCUGCCCUGUGACACAAGUUUAACGGCCGCGGUAUUUUGACCGUGCAAAGGUAGCGUAAUCACUUGUCUUUUAAAUGAAGACCUGUAUGAAUGGCAUAACGAGGGCUGAGCUGUCUCCUUCCCCCAGUCAGUGAAAUUGAUCUGCCCGUGCAGAAGCGGGCAUAAGCGCAUUAGACGAGAAGACCCUAUGGAGCUUAAGGCGCCCGAGCAGCCUAGGUCCCUGCCCCUGUAAAUAAGGGAAAAACCAACUAACCCCUGCUCAACUGCCUUUGGUUGGGGCGACCCCGGGGAAAUAACUAGCCCCCGAGCGGAAGGGGGGUCUCCCCCCUUAGGCCAGAGCCACAGCUCUCGCACCCAGAACUUCUGACCACUCAGAUCCGGCAAGCCGAUCAACGGACCCAGUUACCCUAGGGAUAACAGCGCAAUCCUCUUUUAGAGCCCAUAUCGACAAGGGGGUUUACGACCUCGAUGUUGGAUCAGGACAUCCUAUUGGUGCAGCCGCCAUUAAGGGUUC
This 1468-nucleotide ribosomal RNA is filed under the name Evermannichthys metzelaari. RNAcentral describes it as "partial 16S ribosomal RNA". It matches the Rfam family "Bacterial large subunit ribosomal RNA", at positions 274 to 2574 of the family's 2925-position model. The record is from RNAcentral. Lineage: Eukaryota; Metazoa; Chordata; Actinopteri; Gobiiformes; Gobiidae.